Molecule: long non-coding RNA, 263 nt
Organism: Canis lupus familiaris (dog)
Lineage: Eukaryota; Metazoa; Chordata; Mammalia; Carnivora; Canidae
Exons: 3
Source: RefSeq, a predicted model, not a curated record
AGGAUUUAUGUCUUGUAAUAACAACAACAAGCUCUAAGUAGCUCUGAAAGCUGAAUUUGAGGGGCCCAUAAGCACAGGAAGCUGGCCAGAGAGGAGCUGUGGUGAUGGAGACACUGUCCUUACCAGACAUUUAUCACUGGUUUUGUGGGAGCAUCUUAAUCAAGUGAUCCUGCCUCCAGGUCUCUCACAAAGUUGACCUCCAGUACAAGAUUCAAUAGAAGGUGAUGUGAGUGGACAUCCUUGUCUUUUUUCCGAUUGAGAGG